GGCUCUUCAGGCAGAGAGCAGCCUGAGCUGUGGGAUAUGCUCUGAGAACAGGGAAUGGCCUAUCUCAGCUGAAGAGGAAGAAGUAUGGGGCUGAAGAGAUGAGAAAGGCAGAAAGGGAUUCUGUAGUCGGAGUAUGAAGGUCUUGAUUGAGGAAUUUGUAUGUGAUCUGGCAGGCACCGGGGAGCUACUGAAGGCUGUAGAGCAGGGGAGUGUCAGGAAUUGAACAACGACUGGACUAAGUCUGUGACCCGGACAGCUCUUCUUCAAAUUCUGUGACUGUGUGGGGUGGUGAAUACCCCAGCGGGGGAAUGGGGAAGGGAGCUUGCCUCUCUGGCAAGGCAUAUUCACUCACUGCUGGGAGAGAUGAGGCUGCAGGGGGUGGGUCUGGGCAAUUUUCAUGGGCAUCCUCUUUUUUUUUUUUUUUUUUGAGACGGAGUCUCACUCUUUCGCCCAAGCUGGACUGCAGUGGCGCUAUCCCGGCUCACUGCAAGCUCCGCCUCUUGGGUUCAUGCCAUUCUCCUGCCUCAGCCUCCCGAGUAGCUGGGAUUACAGGCGCCCACCACCACGCCCGGCUAAUUUUUUGUAUUUUUAGUAGAGACGGGGUUUCACCGUGUUAGCCAGGAUGGUCUCGAUCUCCUGACCUCGUGAUCCGCCCGCCUCGGCCUGCCAAAGUGCUGGGAUUACAGGCGUGAGCCACCGCGCCCGGCCGGGCAUCCUCUUUAAAGGUAAAACUUCAGGCGAAAUGUGUGACUCAGCACUGUCUUUGAGCAUGUAGUGUGUGCUCAGCCUGGGACCCCUCACCCCCACCAGCAGUCAUGCCAGCGGGGGACUUAACAGAAGAGGGGACUGGCCUUCCCUGGGGUUGAGCGCCCUGACCGAGGUCACACAGCUGGUGAGCAGGGAGACCGGGAUCCUGCCACCUCCGCUAGGUGCAAACCCUGUGCUGAGCCCUAAGAGCUACCACGGGAGGCCACCAUCCGCUGAGCUCCUGCUGCACUGCGGCCCGGCUCUAGCAUUUUCUAUGUCUUAACUCAGUUCCUUCUCACCCCAACCCCAUGGGGCGGUGCUGAGAUUCUCCCCGUCUUAUAGAAGGGGAAGUUAAGGCAAGGAGAGGUUAGAAGAGCCAGCAAGGGGGCCACACGGCCAGUAGGCGGCGCUGAGUGUGUUGCAGCAGGUCCCACGGAAGAAGCAAAGUUGUGGGAGCCCUACUUCCUGCGGAGCCCCUCCCCCACCUCCCUGCCAUCCACUUCCUGCUGCUGACCUAGGAUUGCUGGCAAUAAAACCGCAAGAGUGUGCAUGGAGGAGGCCCUUAACAUCCACACUGUCACUUAACUUUUACAACCUCCACAUGAUCGAUAUGACAGAUAUUUAUCCUGUUCUUCUCUCUAACAGAUGUGAGGGAGUCUUGGCCCAAAGAACUUCAGUCACUUGCCCGGGACUCACAGUGAGUUGUGGAGCCUUGAGAAGUCCAGGGUGGCCCCACGGCAAAGUGGGGGGCUCCCUGCCUUAUAAGGCACAAGGCGGAGCUCAGAGGGGGCCCAGAGUUGGCCCACACUGCUCCAGAAUCGGGGUCACACUCAGGUCUCCCAAGUCCUGGACUGUGUUCACCCUGCCCUGCUGCUCGAACUUUUCAAUAACUGCCACUUUGAGAUGGGCUGACUUGACGUACCCUCUCCUUAAAACUGUGAAAUGUUUUUUUCAAACUGAAGGAAACUCCCAGGCCCCUGCCCACUCAUGCCAACGGUGGCUCACACACAGGUGAUUCUCAAUGUCAGUCACCAUCCCUCAUUACAUCCCAGCCCUGUGAGGCAGGCAAAGUGUCAUGCCCAUUUCAUAGAUGGGGAAACUGAGGUUCAAAGAGGCCUGCUGUUUGCCCCUGGGCAUUUAGCAGUGCCUGGCAGAGCUGGGAAUCACCUGGGCUGUUGAGCGCUGUGUCUUGGGUGUAGCCCCUGAAUCGCCGUGCCAGUUUCUUUGGUUUGAGACCUUUACUGGCUCUGUAGCCUCUGACUGGCUCAGGCCUUGGACCUGGGCACCUCUCAGAUGGUUCCUCCUCAGCCCCUUCGAAGACUCCUCUCCCCUCUUCCCUGUUCCCUGGCCCAUCCUUAAAUGCUGGUGGCCCCUUCUCCUUGAGGUCUACACCCUCUGCCUUAGUUUGCUGCCCCCGCAGCACUUCUAGGGCCCUCUUGCUGAUGUGGGUUCGAGGAACUAAUAACCUUCCGAUGUCGCUGGCAGCAGGGAGGCCCCCACAGCCUGUCUAGAAAACAGUGAGGGGAAGUGUAGCACAAGGCUUCAUAUACCCCUCCCCUUUAGCCAGUAACUGUUUCCAGAAAUUCCGUUUCUAGGGAAAUAAUCUGAAAGAAACAAAGUGUUCCCUGCAUGAAGAUGUUUAUCAUAGGGUGAAGAGGAGACAACAGCCAGAUGCAACAAUAGGGAAGGGUUUUCUCCUACCUACUCCUGCGCGAGCUGGUGACCUCUGGGGCUCACUGGGUGCCGGACACUGUUCUCCAGCCUCUAUAUUAUUCGCUCCUUUAAUCCUUGUAACAACUUUUUGAAACAGGUACUAGUAACAUCCCCUUUGACAAGUGAAGAAACCGAGGCUUGGCAAGGUUAAUCAGCGUGCCCAAGGUCAGCCAGCUCCCUGAAGUCUGACUCUACCAGCCUCAACCGUUACCAGGGCGGCGAUGGUCAGCAGUCACAAUUACCAGGGGCUGCAGGAGAUCGUCAAAAUCUCGCAGAGCCUACGGUGAGCCUGAGCACAUGGCUGAGCCUUGAGGACUGCCUGCUAGGGUGUCCUAGGGGUGGGGGCCCAUAGCAGAGGUCAAGGCCUGCAGGGGGAUGUAGCUGGCUUUGGAUAGGGCCAGGGAGAGCCCAGGAGCCGGCCGACUAUGUCCACGCAGGUGCCAUGGAUAGAGAAGCUGACAAGACAGGUCUGGAGUGGCCCAGAGAAUGCCACUGGGGCCAGACAGCCUCCGGGGACUUACACUGGGGGGAUGCAGGUGGGGAGGGGAGAGAAGCCUGUGCGGACUGCAUGCCGCUUCCAAAGCCACCAUGUUUACUACUGGAAGUGGCUGAGCUCCCUGACCUGGAAAAUUUAAGUUUUUCCAUCAUCUGUGAAGUGGUGGCCUAUGAGGUCCCGGAGCAGAAUAAAACAAAGUAUCUUACACCUGGGCACAGCCAGGUGUGUGCGCCAAGCUCCACUCCUGGGGCAAGGGCACUCACUCAAUUGGUCCUUCCCCAGCCCUGGGAGGGAGGCCCUGGAAUGAUCAGCCCCAUUUUUCAGAUGAAGAAGACACAAGAGUUUGAGAGAGAGGAAGUCACUCGCUCCAGGUCAGCCAGCCAGCAAAUUGGGGAGGUCAGCCUUCAGAGCUCUGGCAACAGACCACUGCCAUGUCACAAAUAGCUUCCCAGCUUGCGAGAGUGUCUGGUAAGGGAUGAGUGAAUGGGGGAGACGGCAGGAAACUCAGCAGCCACAAAAGGGAGAGAUGUGCAGCCUGUUCAGGAACGAACACCAGGUGGAACAAAAGCGGGGCAGAACAAGAGCAUGUGCAUCCUCUUACCACCAUGACAUUAAGGCCAUGUCUGCACCCGGACCAAGAUGGGAAGGGAGCACAGAGCUGUGACUUCAGGGAAUAGGAAGGAUGGCAACAGACAUGGGGUUCUCUAUGACUUUCCAUUUUAUCUUCCAUUUUCACAGUAAGUUUUAAAACUCUACGUCUCCAGAUUCAGCAUGAGAAGGAGAAGUUCCUUGAAUCCUCUGGGCACUGGGGACAGCCAGUCCACCCACCCUGGGUAACAAAGGGAUGUGGUCAGUCCUCACGUGAGGAGGGACUGAGUGUCCUCCAUGGACCUGCGACGUCCCGUCUGUGAGGCCCUCGCUACUUUCUGCAAAUUUCUACAUGGAUCAGAGACAGGAGAAGCAGGCACACUGAUGGUUGUCUAGCACCACGUGCCAGUUUUUGGCAGUCGGGACCACCUCGACUUCCUGUCUCCAGGCAGGGUGGGGAGGGAAUGGUCCUUAUGCCCCAGGAGAGCCUCAAGGGCUGUGCACACCCUGCAAUGCAGGCACACCCCCUUCCACCCUCUGAAUGCUCUGCCACAAACAGCCACUGCGAGCGUAAUGAAGCCCCCAAAACAGGGAGCCCUGUGACUCACCACUGCUGCUUCAGGGACAGGGACAACUGCCAGAAUUCUUAGCUCUCUUUUACAGAUGGGGAAAUUGGGACUCAGAGAGGGAUGCGAUCUCUCCAAGCUCACACAGCCAAUCUGUGGCAGGGGAAUGAGAAAGUCUGGUCUGGUCUCCUCUCCCCAUGGCUGGGGCUCUCUCUGCAGUCCCGCCCUAUGCCCAGCCUGCACCCUCACCUGCCCCUGGCUCCUGGACUGGCAACUCAAGUCGUGACACGGACACGCUUUACCGAAUUUGCCUCCACACUUUGAGCGACUCAUUAGUAUAAAAAACACGUUCCUCACCACCCUUGCCAGAAGAUUCUUGACACAACACAGUUGGGGGGUUGGCACGCUCUCUCCGUUGUUAAGUAUUUAUAUAUAGUUAGUAUUGGAAUGGUCCCCGGACACCGAUCCAAGUCUCCCGUUUUCAGAUGGGGGGCACCAGGCUUAGGGUCAGGACCCCCCUGGAACAAUUCAGUAGCACAGCUGAGACAUAAAUCCACAGAGCCUGCCCUGAACUUUCCAGCUGCUCCUUGGCAAAUGGGCCAUGGGGAAAAAAAAUAAAUAAAGGCUGCCACUUACUAAGCA
Long non-coding RNA from Homo sapiens (human), 4752 nucleotides. RefSeq annotates it as HRH2 antisense RNA 1. The transcript is spliced from 2 exons. The record is from RefSeq and is a predicted model, not a curated record. NCBI's taxonomy places the organism in Eukaryota, Metazoa, Chordata, Mammalia, Primates, Hominidae.